This 390-nucleotide ribosomal RNA is filed under the name uncultured bacterium. RNAcentral describes it as "bacterial SSU rRNA". It matches the Rfam family "Bacterial small subunit ribosomal RNA", at positions 28 to 420 of the family's 1533-position model. The record is from RNAcentral.
GACGAACGCUGGCGGCGUGCUUAACACAUGCAAGUCGAGCGGUAAGGCCCCUUCGGGGGUACACGAGCGGCGAACGGGUGAGUAACACGUGGGUGACCUGCCCUCAGCUCUGGGAUAAGCCUGGGAAACUGGGUCUAAUACCGGAUAUGACUCCAUGACGCAUGUCGUGGGGUGGAAAGCCUUGUGCGGCUGGGGAUGGGCCCGCGGCCUAUCAGCUUGUUGGUGGGGUGAUGGCCACCAAGGCGACGACGGGUAGCCGGCCUGAGAGGGCGACCGGCCACACUGGGACUGAGACACGGCCCAGACUCCUACGGGAGGCAGCAGUGGGGAAUCUUGCGCAAUGGGCGAAAGCCUGACGCAGCGACGCCGCGUGAGGGAUGACGGCCUGGU